UGAAUAGCCCACGCAUUUGCAAACAGAAUUGUACCGGCUGGGACAUCGUAUCCUCCGAUGGUACAGUCCGCCGAUGACAUAUGCGGUGCUAGGAGCGGAACAACUGGAUGCAAUCGUAAGCUCUCAAGGAUGACACUUUGAAGGUAGGGUAGUUUCGAGAUAUCUGCUUCAUCUACCAUGUGGUAUUGACCAAUCUGAGCAUCCAAUUCUUCUCUUGCUUUCUUUUCCACAUCAGGAUGGUUCAGCAGGUUGCAAACUGCCCAUUCUAAAGAUGUACUGAGGGUCCUCGUCCCUGCAAGCAACAUUAUCUGCAGAAGAAAUAUGGAGUCUUAGAUGCAGAGUUCAUCAUCUAUGAUCAGCUAGAGCUAGAAAAUGAGAUCUGAG
This 384-nucleotide long non-coding RNA is filed under the name Populus tremula. RNAcentral's name for it is "long non-coding RNA (PTRE_LNC002844)". The record is from RNAcentral. Lineage: Eukaryota; Viridiplantae; Streptophyta; Magnoliopsida; Malpighiales; Salicaceae.